This is a long non-coding RNA of Capra hircus (goat), 159 nucleotides long. RefSeq lists it as uncharacterized. Lineage: Eukaryota; Metazoa; Chordata; Mammalia; Artiodactyla; Bovidae. The record is from RefSeq and is a predicted model, not a curated record. The transcript is spliced from 3 exons.
CACCGACGAUGAGAGAAAGUGGAGGCGUUGGGAAGCCAGGGCUUGAAGUCCAGCGGUGAGGACAGGCUUCCUAGCGAUCUUAUGACUAUCUUAAGAAGAAUUUUUUUUGGCUAAUACCCCAACCUAAGCCCCAUGGACUGUAGCCCACCAUGCUCCUCU